CAGAUGGCGAGGAGAGGCUACCGGAACGAGGCCGGAUGGCAGGCGGUUGCCGGAGAAGAGAGAGUAUGAGAAGAGAUGCGCCGCCUAGGAGUGUUGGCUGCGGUCUCAUCCGAGGAAAAGAGAGAGUAUGCAAUUUAGCCCUUGGUUGAAUUUAUGUUGGGCCAUCUUUUGGUGGGGCUUUGGGCUUCAUUGCUGGGCUUCUUUAAUUUGUAGAGAGGCCAUCUUAAAUUACACCAAGCCCAUUUCUAUAAAUCAAAUAAAUCGGGCCCAAUUUUGGAAACAAACUGGCAGCAGCGAAAGCUUGGUGAUGACGAUUUUGGAGGGUUAUGUUCAAGAUUGGCGCAGUCUUAUCAACCAACUUGAUGGCGGAUUUUGCCCCAAACGAGAUGCUUUGAGUAUUUGCAAAGUUUGGAAUCUAUUGUUAUUUUUCUUUCAGUUUUGACAUCUCCAUUAGCCCGACUAAAGACCAUCCUUAGAGAGUUUAUCCAAAAAUCUGGCGGCAGCUCAUCUAAGACCUUAUUUGAGUGAUGUUUACUUUGCACUUCAGGUGGUUCAAUUGGCUUUUAAUCAGAUUUCGGGUGCGCUCGGAUCUGGGCCAUUGUGAGUCCAACCUUUGAAGAUUGCUGGUUACAUCUUCUCUUUGCGCGCAUUUGAGCAGGCUAGAUGACUCAAAGGUGUGAACGUGUAUUUCCACUCCACAAAUAGUUUCAACUUUAGAGAAGUGAAGUUGGCGAUGCAUAGCUGACCUCAACGCCAGAUGACUCAAUUCUUUGACAGGUCUUGGGUGCGCUCGGACCUGGGAUUGUUCGAGUCUGGUUUGAGUGAGGUUGUCAUGUUUGGCAUCUCACGAAGUUAGGAGAAUUCUGCACAGCGACUCGAGAAGAUUGAGUCUUCUCUUCUUGAUGCUUAAGCCAAGGAGAAUGAAGCCAUCGUCAGAAUUGCUUUGAUCAAGGAAGAGCUUGCUAUGAUAGAGAUGUGGGAGAUGGAGAUGACGUUGUUCUUCAAGCAAGAUAGUGCCUCCUUUCAUAUUGCCCGAGGUGCAAUCCCAUAAUUCAAAAGAGAGUUUGACAAACAUAAAGUUGCACAUGUUGAUGAGGAAAUGCUGCGGAAUUUUGAAGACUUCAGAGUCACUUUUGAUCUCUGCUCAGAGAACUUUGGAGGAUCAAGACCCAUUUGCUUAGUAUUGGUGCAAACCGCAGUUUCUAUCAUUUCUCUCUUGAUGAUUCUUAUUUGGUUUGUGAUGGAUAUUUUGACAUCUUCUCCAAAUGCUUGUGCUUCUUUUGAUGGCUUGAUUUUCUUCCCAAUUUGAGACAUAUUCGACUUCACAUAA
This is a long non-coding RNA of Salvia miltiorrhiza (redroot sage), 1330 nucleotides long. RefSeq lists it as uncharacterized. The record is from RefSeq and is a predicted model, not a curated record. The transcript has 2 exons. Lineage: Eukaryota; Viridiplantae; Streptophyta; Magnoliopsida; Lamiales; Lamiaceae.